AACGCGAAGAACCUUACCUACCCUUAACAUCCCAAGACAAUCACAGAGAUGUGACUUUCCUUUCGGGGACUUGGUGAUAGGUGCUGCAUGGCUGUCGUCAGCUCGUGUCGUAAGAUGUCUGGUUAAGUCCAAUAACGAGCGCAACCCCUGUUUCUAGUUACCAGCAUUAAGUUGGGGACUCUGGAAAGACUGCCGGUGUUAAACCGGAGGAAGGCGGGGAUGACGUCAAGUCCUCAUGGCCCUUACGGGUAGGGCUACACACGUACUACAAUGGCAGAAACAAACCGUUGCGAAACCGUGAGGUGGAGCCAAUCGGUAAAACACUGUCUCAGUUCGGAUUGAAGUCUGCAACUCGACUUCAUGAAGCUGGAAUCGCUAGUAAUCGCUGAUCAGCAAGCAGCGGUGAAUACGUUCCCGGGCCUUGUACACACCGAGACGUA
Molecule: ribosomal RNA, 440 nt
Filed under: uncultured bacterium
Lineage: Bacteria
Description: bacterial SSU rRNA
Rfam family: Bacterial small subunit ribosomal RNA
Source: RNAcentral